This 256-nucleotide ribosomal RNA is filed under the name uncultured bacterium. RNAcentral's name for it is "partial 16S ribosomal RNA". It matches the Rfam family "Bacterial small subunit ribosomal RNA", at positions 524 to 778 of the family's 1533-position model. The record is from RNAcentral.
UACGGGGGGGGCAAGCGUUGUUCGGAAUUACUGGGCGUAAAGGGCUCGUAGGCGGCCAACUAAGUCAGACGUGAAAUCCCUCGGCUUAACCGGGGAACUGCGUCUGAUACUGGAUGGCUCGAGUUUGGGAGAGGGAUGCGGAAUUCCAGGUGUAGCGGUGAAAUGCGUAGAUAUCUGGAGGAACACCGGUGGCGAAGGCGGCAUCCUGGACCAACACUGACGCUGAGGAGCGAAAAGCCAGGGGAGCAAACGGGGU